UGGGGAAUUUUGCACAAUGGGCGCAAGCCUGAUGCAGCCAUGCCGCGUGUAUGAAGAAGGCCUUCGGGUUGUAAAGUACUUUCAGCGGGGAGGAAGGGAGUAAAGUUAAUACCUUUGCUCAUCGACGUUACCCGCAGAAGAAGCACCGACUAACUCCGUGCCAGCAGCCGCGGUAAUACGGAGGGUGCAAGCGUUAAUCGGAAUUACUGGGCGUAAAGCGCACUCAGGCGGUUUGUUAAGUCAGAUGUGAAAUCCCCGGGCUCAACCUGGGAACGACAUCUGAUACUGGGAAGAGUGAGUCUCGUAGAGGGGGGUAGAAUUCCAGGUGUGUCGGUGAAAUGCGUAGAGAUCUGGAGGAAUACCGGUGGCGAAGGCGGCCCCCUGGACGAAGACUGACGCUCAGGUGCGAAAGCGUGGGGAGCAAACAGG
RNAcentral lists this ribosomal RNA (429 nucleotides) under Chloroflexota bacterium. Its description in RNAcentral is "Chloroflexi bacterium partial 16S ribosomal RNA". It matches the Rfam family "Bacterial small subunit ribosomal RNA", at positions 355 to 776 of the family's 1533-position model. Lineage: Bacteria; Bacillati; Chloroflexota. The record is from RNAcentral.